AAGAGAACUCAAUUUUUUUUCUUUGGUUUUUUUUUUUUUUUUUUUUUGGAGGGCUAUGGAAGUUCCCAGACUAGAGAUCAAAUCCAAACCACAUAUGCAACCUACACCACAGCCCAUGGCAACAGCAGAAUGUUAACCCACUGAGCCGGGCCAGGGAUUGAACCCACAUCCUCAUGACUAAUCAGGUUUGUUACUGCUGAGACACGACAAGAACUUUUUCCUUUUUAAAUUUUUUGGCCACUUUGCAGCGCAUGAAGCUCCCGGGCCAUGGAUCAGAUCUGAGACACAGCUGAAGCUGACCUACGCUGAAGCUUCGGUAAUGCUGGAUCCUUUAGCCCUCUCUGAGGGGCAGGGAGUUGAACCUGUGUCCUGGUGCUACAGACACUUAAAUCUCAUUGCACUGCAGCAGGAACUCCUUUGCUAAUUUUUUUUUGGUCUUUUUAGGGCCAUACCAGAGGCAUAUGGAAGUUCCCAAGAUAGGGGUCAAAUUGGAGCUGCAGCUGCCACCCUAUGCCACAGCCACAGCAAAAUGAUGGGAUCCAAGCCAUGUCUGUGACCUACACCACAGCUCAUAGCAAUGCCAGAUCCUUAACCCACUGAGCAAGGCCAGGGAUCAAACCUGAGUCCUCACGGAUCCUAGUCGGGUUCGUUAACCAGAGCCACGAAGGAACUCCCAGGCCUUGAAGUUUCUAAGGCCUGGCUCUGAAAUACUACUCAGCAUCACGUGCAAAGAAUAUAGCUGCAAAGUGCCUUUUUUGCUGCAGAAAUGGAGCAUGGCCUGAACGCGCAUCUUGUUGAACACGAAUGAAACGGAAGCAAAGAGUACACCCUGUGGGGAACGCAUCAGGCCAUCCUGUAUUUAACUUUCUUCUGGAAAACGUUCCAGGUGUUAUUAACCUUUGAUGCUUCUUGAAACAACUGCUUUCCCAUCCACACUGGUGUAACGGUCACAGCAACCCUUGAAGCGGGCAUCAAUUUUCAUGUUGCCCACUCAGGAAGUGAGGCUCAGAGACCCAACGCACAGGCCUUGCUCCGCCCAACUCUUUCAUGGCAGUGCGAGGCCUGGAAGCCUUGCCUUGUCAGGCUUUGAUGAUGGCAGUGAUACAGACAGUAACGGCAAUGACUAACACCUACGAACACCUGCUACAUACCAAAGACGGUUCCGUGAAAGAAAUCCCCUCAUGAGAGCCCAGUGAGGUGCCUGCUGAGACCAGCUCUGUCGCACACAGAUGCAUCAGACUCUUAAGCCCCCAAAUAUUUACACUCCAAAAGGCAAAGAGGUUUACAUUUUUAAAAACCUUUUGCAUUCUGAGAUGGGCCAUAAAUAUAGAUGCUUCCAAAUAUCCUUGAAGCAGAGUUCCUGUCAUGGCUCAGUGGUUAAUGAACCUGACUAGGAACCAUGAGGUUGCAAUUCGAUCCCUGGCCUGGUUCAGUGGGUUGGGGAUCCAGUGUUGCUGCGAGCUGUGGUGUAGGGUGCAGAUGCAGCUCAGAUCCUGCGUGGCUGUGGCUGUGGUAUAGGCUGGCGGCGACAGCUCCGACUGGACCCCUAGCUUGCGAACCUCCACACGCUGUGGGUGUGGCCCUAGAAAAAACAAAAAAGCAGAAAGAAUCAAACAAACAAAUAUCCUUGAAGGGAGUUCCUGUCCUGGCUCAGGGGAAACAAAUUUGACUAGUAUCCAUGAGGACGCAGGUUUGAGGCCCUAAAAAGACAAAAAAAAAAAAGUAUAAAUUAAAAAUAAAAAUAGGAGUUAUUGAAAAGAUAACUAUAAACUAGAAAGAACUACAAAAAGCCUUGAAGUACAAACUUCAAAAGCUUCGCAUCUAUAGAUAAACCAUGUCUUGUUUUUUAUUAAUAAAAGAGGAAUUCCUGGGAGUUUAUAUUGUGCCUCAGCAGUAAUGAACCUGCCUAGUAUCUAUAUGUGGACCUGCUCAGGAUGGAACCCCCAACCUCAUGGUUUCUAGUUGGAUUUGUUAACCACUGAGCCACGACGGGAACUCUUUUUUUUUGAGACUUUUUCUUUGACAGCACCAAUAACAUCAUCGUGUUCCAGAAACUGGACACAGAAAAGUUUGGUGACCUGCCUGAGGCUGCCCGGCUGGGAUAAGAAACCAGGCUUGCCUAAGCCCACUUUGACUCUCUCUGCCAUGUUCCGGCCACUGCUUGACUGCUUAGCCCCUGCUCUGCUAAGGAAGUAGUUUCUUCCACAUAAUUGACCAACCCCUAUUUUCUUUUCUAGCUUUGUCCUAGCCACUGGUAAGAUGAAAAAUACAGUCACUGCCCAUGCAAGUUUGGAUGGGGACAUCAGAUAGUGACAUAGGCCCUGGAGGGAUGCACAGGGGCUCAGAAGUCCAGAGGACGGCCCCUCACCCCGCCUUAGAGGUCAGAGAAGGCUUCCCAGAGGUGGUGAUUAGAGCCGAACCUCGCAAAACAAAAAACAAGAGUUAUCCAGAUAGGGAAAGAGAGGGUGGGAAGGAGUGCCCGUUACAGCUGUCCUGGUCAUCUACUGCUGUGUCACAAGUCCUCAUGGUCAAGGGGCUGACGAGCUUGGUCUCUUUCAGGAUCUCUUAUGGUUUCAGGGGGAAGGCUGGCUCUGGAUUCAUCCUGGAAAUACCGAUUGCUGACACUGGCUGCAGCAUAUGGAAGUUCCCAGGCUACGGGGCAAAUUGGAGCUUUAGCUGCUGCCCUACACCAGAGCCACAGCAACGCAGGAUCCGAGCCGCAUCUGCAACCUACACCACAGCUCAGGGCGACGCCAGAUCCUUAACCCACUGAGCGAGGCCAGGGAUUGAACCUGCAACUGCUCCUUUAACCACAAGAUUACAUUACUCAUCAAAAAAGUAUGUGCUUCGGCCUGAAGAUGAUAGGGAGCAAUGUAUUAGAAAAUAAGAUUUCGGGAGUGCCCUGGUGGCUCAGUAGGUUAAAGAUCCUGUGUUAUCACUGCUGUGGCGUGGGUCACUGCUGUGGUGUGGGUCACGGGCCAGGUUCCAUCCCUGGCCAGGGAAUUUCCACAUGCUGCAGGAGCAGCCAGAAACAAAAAACAAAAACAAACUAAAAAAAAAAAAAGGAGAUUCGAUUAUAACAAAAGCAGAGAAUUUACACUAAAACUUGGUGGCGUGAUUUUGGAGCUCAUGGGGAAAUACGGACUCAAGGAUGAAGUGUUACCACCUUCACUUUUUUGGAGGUGUAUUGUAACGCAGUGAAGUGCACUAAUCUUAAGGGUAGAAACGUGAAGAAUUUUUACGAAUGCAGACACCCACUUAACUACCCCCAGAUGAAGACGUAGGCGAAUCCCCAUCCCCGCCCACAGUGCCCCCUGCCCCAUCACCACACCCGCCCAGGGAACCACUGCCUCGGCCUCCGUCGCCUCCAGCACCUGUUCCUGGACUCCACGGAGGGGCACGGUCUCUGUGAAAGAUCCUCCUCACCCGGUCAGCCGCACACCCACGACACUGCGUUCCCGACGCUUGGCUGUCAGUCCACUACACGAAGAAGCCCCAGUUGGCCUGCCGGUGAACGGCUCGUCUUCCGGGGGUUCUGGCGACUCCGACUCGAGCGGCUCGGCACGUUCUGACACUCCUGCUGGUGGGCCACACCUUCAGCGCUCGACUCGGCGGUUCUUCCGCGGGGAGCGCGGGCGCUAUAGCCGCACCGCAGCGCAGGACCUCCCGCCGCCCUCCGGGCCCCGAGUCCGCGACUCGCGGACGAGGCUUCCAGGGAGUCUCAGGCCGGGGGC
Molecule: long non-coding RNA, 3734 nt
Filed under: Sus scrofa (pig)
Lineage: Eukaryota; Metazoa; Chordata; Mammalia; Artiodactyla; Suidae
Description: lncRNA (ENSSSCG00055028118.1)
Source: RNAcentral